This 243-nucleotide long non-coding RNA is filed under the name Elaeis guineensis (African oil palm). RNAcentral's name for it is "long non-coding RNA (EGUI_LNC065595)". Lineage: Eukaryota; Viridiplantae; Streptophyta; Magnoliopsida; Arecales; Arecaceae. The record is from RNAcentral.
UGUGCUCUGGCUAUUAAGAAAUAACAGCCCACACGUUUCAAUGUUAUUGAGAUUACAGAUCUCACUGACUGAAGGAGAAAGUGGAGCAAUGAGUGGGCAGGCUACUUAUCAUCUUGUGAGCAGAAGACUGAAACUCCUCCAGCACAAUUGUAAAAGACUAGGUGGUAGAGGUUAGCCAAUUGCUCCAUCACCUUCUACCAAGGGCUUGUGUUAGGCUACCAUUAGAUCACCAAUGCCAUCAUG